GAAUUUCCCUUUCUAUGCACUUUAUAAAAAAGUAUAACAGAACAUGGGAAGCAACACGUCGGAUAGCAUUGCAGUUUCAUCUGGAAUUUACAAGCAAUGAUUCUGUUGUAGAAUAGAUGUGAAAGUUUACAUUACUGAAAGAUGUGCUACCAAGAUGCAGUGACAGAGGGAGUUGUGGAGUUGCUGACAUCACACACCUGAAGCAUUGUAACUAUUGACUUAAGCAUUGAGGUAGUUGGUUGUGUGCACAGCUUGAAGGCCCUGAAGUCAAGUGCUUUACCCAGUCCUUUCCUCAUUGUGUGACUUUGGAACCAUUUUUUUCAAGAAUAAGAAUUCCCACGGACUCAAGAAAGGUAGGAAUUGGAAACACCCCAGUUCUGAGCAGACAUGUGGAUCAUCUGAGGUUUUGCCCCCACCUCGAGUUUCUGCUCUCCACUAUGGCAGCUGCAUGCCCCAAAACAAGAGCUGCUCAUUCAAGGAAGUCACAUGGAACCCAGCUGAGCCAAGCAGAACCUGGCAAGAUCACAGUGGAGCGGCAGUCAUCAUGAAAUAUGAAUAAUAACAUAGGUGAUGAAACUGAAUCAGAGAGAUGCUGAACAACGUGUUUAAGAAGUUGCUUAUUUACAGCCUUUAAGUGGAAGAGUCAGAAUCCAACUGGGUUUUGAACAAAAAUUUUUCACCAUAUAAAUGGAUCAGAAAACUGAAAGAAGUCUGACCUCUGCCAUGAAGGGGCUUUCAGAGGUGCUCGGGAAAUAGACAUGCAUGUGGGGUUAUAGCUGGUGGUCCAGGAAAAUGCAGUGUGUACUGUGAUGGAAAAAUAAAACAAAAGA
Ictidomys tridecemlineatus (thirteen-lined ground squirrel) is the source of this 830-nucleotide non-coding RNA. NCBI's taxonomy places the organism in Eukaryota, Metazoa, Chordata, Mammalia, Rodentia, Sciuridae. The record is from RefSeq and is a predicted model, not a curated record.